Molecule: long non-coding RNA, 6237 nt
Filed under: Sus scrofa (pig)
Lineage: Eukaryota; Metazoa; Chordata; Mammalia; Artiodactyla; Suidae
Description: lncRNA (ENSSSCG00000056581.1)
Source: RNAcentral
GGUGACGUGGAGGAGGAGGUGGGUGAAACCGUCCAGGGAGAGGGUGGAGAGCAUUGGGCCCCGGGGACGUCAUGAUUCUAGGAGCGAGUGGCUAAGAGCUGGGGCGGCUUCGAGGUGGGAUGCUGUGGUGAGGAGAGGACCUCAAGGAAGGAGGCUGAUUGUGCAGGAGACACUCCAUCCGGGAGCCACGGGGACCGAGUGGGAACACUGACUUUAAUAAGCCACUGGCUCUGCGUCCUGGCGAGGCAGCAGUGGAGGCGAGCCUUCAUGUGCUUUGGCUCUGCUCUAAGUGGGGGGACGCUGGGGCGGUGGAGCACCUGUGCGUUUGGCUUCCCUGAGGGGCUGGUGUGGACUCUCGCACAAUCGGGCUGCGAACUGGACAGUAGAAGGGUAGCCCCUCCUCUGACAUGUCACUGUGUCCUCCCUGCGCAGCUGGGCUUGGCCGAGGCUGAGCUGUCACCAUUUGUCCCAAACCGGCUGCCCCUUCCCCACUCCCCAGGCGGCCCAGAAUACCGCAGCCCCAGCUGCUCCUCCAGCCAGAAGCUGCACUCUGCUAAAUGAGCUGGGGUUGCUGGAACUUUCCCGUCCGCCUAGGCCACUUAAACUUCCAGGUUGGUUGAACACCAGCCAGUUUUCCAUUUGGGUUUGAGGUGCCCCCCCUCCUUGCAGCGCUGCGCCCGCUGGGGUUGAAGAGACUGGCGGCGGAGCUCUGGCUCCCAGUGGGGCGGCGGCUCUGGGGGAGGCACGGAGGUGGGGACGGAGGCUGAUCAGUGCCGCCUGGCUUCACGCUUUCUCCCCACGGUGAAAACCCAGCUGGCUCCUUCCCCUGGUUUGUCUGCGAAGCUGUAUCUGGUAUUUAUAGAGGACUGAACCAAGGGCCAAUCAGCUCGGAAUGGAAAUUCCUGAGCCUGGAGUUCUCUGGAGCAACCGGCUCCUGGCUUUCUCUCUCCCAGGAGUUCAGCUGAGGUUUUUCUCCUGAAAACUUUCAAGCUCCGAGAAGUUGGAAGAGGCACAAAUGGGGGGUGUACGUGAAAACACACUGACUAUCUUCCUCUGGGUGUGGACACCUCGUGGUUUUUGGCAUUGAUGGCCAGAGGCGGGGAGGGGCCGGAGGAUGAAUCGCUGGGGGGCCCCGGGAGCAGCUGCAGAGCCUGGCUCUCUGGCGGUGACAGGCAUUGUCUCCUGUUCCUGCGGCCUCCAGGAUUUCCCGCUUCUGAAAUCACGUGUCCGAACUGACCUACUGGGCAUCAGCCACAACCAGCGGUUGUUGUUAACACGAACCUUCCAGCUGCAAGGAAAAGGGACUGUGAGAGAUUUGACAUUUAAAAAGACAGCCAGAAUGAGUGAGAUAUCGACUGACACACUCACUAAAUGUCACCACUUUUGUUUCUUUUCAAUGUUCAGCGCCUAAGUUAUUCUAAAUUAAUUACAUAGCCGCUUGAUUUAUUCCUUACAUUCCCCCUCGCUGCUCCCUCCCACCCUCUGCAGACUGAGAAGCAGCGCGGUGGCUUAUCCCCUUUGUUCUCAAGUUCCCUGGUUGUGAAAAUGACAGGCCUUCAAGGAAAGAGGAGAUGGUCCAGGCAGCAGUGCUGCAACAGGCUCUCAGGGUGCAGUUCAGAGGCGGGGUCUGACCACGGCCACCAUCAAAGCAAGGACACCCCUGUCCCACAGGUGGGGUGGUAAGGCUCAGAGAGGGCACUCCAUAGGCCCAGGGUGGACUGGGGAAGCUGGGGGAGCCAGGACUUAGCCCAGCUCUCCUGGCUUUAGGCUCUUGAGUUUUCCACAUCUAUUGGGGUCAAAGAGAUGAAUCCAUCCUCAUAUGGCAGAUCUGGCAGGAAACAGGUAGCUGCUGGAAUGAAAAGCGCCUACAGCGAAUACAGUUGUACCCCUGCUUCACUGCCAGGGAGCGGGCCCCUGGGAGCGUCAAGGCAGUCCCAGGUUCGAGACCAGGGGAUAACAGGAAGAACUUUUCUGCAUAGAAGGUCAUGCAUAUUUGGAUUAUCUGGGAGAGAAAGUUCCUAGUAAUUGAAGGAAGACAGUGUCUCCUGCUUGUCUAGCUCUUUGAUUUCACAAUCCAUUUUAACUGCAGUGUGUCAUUGUCAGUAAUUUCUCUGAAGAGAUGAAAGACCAUGGUAUAAAGGGCCGUAACCCUUUCAACUGUGAUUAGCAAGUCCUCUGUCAUCUCAGGGACUCACGUUUCCAAAAACACUCAGACUUUCCAGCCACGGGUUUUCAUCCCUUAUUGCUUCAGCCUGAAGCGUCCCCAUAGACCUGACUCAGGCACAGACUGCAAGGUGAAGCCACCGAGAAAAGGAGAAUUGCUACAUGGCUCAGGAUGCCUGAGGCCCCUGCCCACGUUGAUGCUAUGUGUUUCUCUGGAUAAUCCCUGAUGUGUCACCAAACUUUCCCAAUCUGUGCAGAAAAAAGAGUCACCUCAGGGAAAAGAGUCACACAUCUCCCCACUCCUCCUCCCAGUACUAAUUUACUGCGAGUUAGUUGUCCUCGUCCUCGGCUGAGAUCCCUGCAGGGGGAGACUCACCACCCAGGUCUGAAAGGAAAGAGAUGCAGGAAGGCGGUGGGUGGGGGGUGGAGGGGGGGCUCGCCUAUGUGAGUUCCUGACUUUGCGGGCAUCCUCUGAACCCUCUGAAUUCUUCUGUCUGUUCUCACCUGUGGCAGCUCAUCAUCAAUUUCCCUUUUUUUCCAGUCGAAUGGCACAGGCUCUGUUCGGAGCUGCACAUUGUAGAGUGAUGAGCCCUUGUCUGAACUCGACUCUGCUUUUCAGUAGAGCUGCUAAACUACAGCCCACCUUCCCUCCUCCUUGCAUUGUCCAGCAUAGAACGAGUUUAUGGGCUGACUCCACAGCUCUUUAGCUGAUGUAGGGGAUCAAACUAGGAUGUGUGACUGAGGGUUCACAAAGAGGCCGUUGUCGCGCUCUCUCCAGGGAGGCUGGGUACAUUUAGGGGUGUGCCAUGAGGGGUAUAUGCAUAGAUGGCUGGAUACCUUACACCUCUGCUGUAUCUCUACCAUUGCCCUCUUUGUAGAAUAAUUUUCUAUUUUCUAAUAAUUUUCUGAUCUACUCCUGUGUCUGUCUCCUCUUCUGAAUCGUGAGCUCCUAUGUUUUGUUAGAAGGCAGCUUGGCAUGAGCUCCUGUGUUUUGUUAGAAGGCAGCUUGGCAUGGUGCUUAAGCAUGUGAGUCUGGGAUUUAGUUAUCUGGGUUCAGCUGUGUCCCUUGGGCAAGUUUCUGAACCCUUUAGGGCUAGAGGGAGAAAUCAGUGGUGUAAUGAGUGUAAAGCAUUUAGAACAGUGCCUGCCAUAUAGGAAAUGCUUAGUGUUUGUUAGUUUUUAUUAUGAAUUGAUGUGCCCUCAGCCCUAGCAUGUUACCUGAUAUAUACUAGGUGCUCGACACACGUUUGUGGAGUGAAUACCUGUGUGCAGGUAGAGAGAGACGAGCCACAUUCAUGGCAAUAAGUCCCGCUGAGUGUUCUGGGACUGAGCAGGGCAGGAGAGAGAACUGGUCUGUAAGGUUGAGUUUGAGCGGCAGGCUGGGAGUUGGGCCAGGACAUCUGCAGUUGUGGGAGAUGACUUCCUUUACUAUAAAAGGUCCAAUCAGUGGCUUUGACCUCCGUGACUUGGCCCCAUACCAAGGAGCACACAUGUGUUUAUCAGGAGGAACCCCAGAGGUGAGGAUGAAUUCAUGGCCAGAAUGUCACCAAAUGGCCCUUGUGGGGGAUUUAGUUGUCCUUAAAAGUUGGACCCCUGUCAGAACUACUCAAAGCAAUGUACAGAUUCAGUGUAAUCUCUAUCAAAAUCUCAAUUUUUUUUUUUUUUAGUAAAAAUAAACUCAUCCUAAAAUUGAUAUAGAAUCUCAAGGGACUCCAAAGAGCAAAAAUAAUUUUGAAAAAAAAAAAAAGUUGGAGAAUUAACACUUCCUGAGUUCAAGACUUACUAGAAGUUCAAACAUCUGAAUAGGGCUCACCUCAAAGAGGAACAGAGCAGGACACAGGACAAAGCAUGGCCCUGUGGCUGAAGAAGGGCCUCAGGAGGUGAGGCUGGGUAAGGAGGUGUGGCAGCUAGACUGAUCUCAGAUUCCUGAGAGUCUUGCCGUUCCAGGGGAUCAGUCCUUUUGGGAGCAGAAGCCAAGCCCUUGGAGGAGGGAGGGGCAGCAGGUCCUUGCCCGGUGGGGGCAACUGGCAAGAACCAGGUAGGGUCAGGGAGGGCCGGGGAGGGGAAAGAUGCAGUCCCCAGGAAGAAACCUGGGCUGACGAAUGCCGGCAAGGGGGCAGUCGUACUCAGGGGGCUCCUUGUCUCCCCUGGAUGCAGGGCACCUGGCAGCCCUGGGAAUUCCUCAGCUCCAGGUCUUCCCCUUUGUGGACCCCUCAGCCAGGAAAGUGCCCCCUCCUCACAGCUUCCACAUCCCCAAAUCCUACCCAUCCUUAGAAGGGCUAGAAGAUGUCCGUCCUUUCUUUAUUUUUUUUGCUUUUUGCUUUUUAAGGCUGUAAGUUCCCAGACUAGGGGUCGAAUCAGAGCUGCAGUUGCUGGCCUACACCACAGCUACAGCAACGCCAGAUCCGAGCCACAUCUGUGACCUACGCCGUAGCUCACGGCAAUGCCAGAUCCUUAACCCACUAAGCGAGGCCAGAGGAUUGAACCUGUGUCCUCAUGGAUACUAGUUGGAUUCGUCUCCGCUGCGCCACGACAGGAUGCAGCCUUAUAUUUCGCCUCCCUUCCUGCAUUUAGCACUUUCUACCAUGGACUGUAGUUACUUAUGUGGCUGACUUACUAGACUAAAAAGCUUUUUGUGGGCAAGAUUCAAGUCUGAAACUAGUACAGUUGUGUGGCUCAGUGUACAGUCCAUGACUUCAUUCCAAAAUGAAUAGACUGCAGUUUCCCUUCAUUCGUUUCUCUGAGUCAACCCUUCAUAGCUGGACCCUUCACGGGACCCCAAGUUCACUGGGUCUUCCCAAGGGCUGAUGACCAAAUAUUUUCUACUUCUUCUUCCUCUGGGAAUGAACCCCCUAGGUUUUAGAGACCAUAUGAGUACUUCUGGGCAAGGAACUGUGAAGGAAAGUGACAUGUGUUCUUGUCGGGCCAGAGCACUGGGGCCAGGAUGAGAUCCUCCUGAGCUCUGUUUAUCCCCUGGUGUGGCUACUGACAAUGUCUGAGAGGUUGGCUGCGUGGUCAUCUUGAGUUCCCCCCAUCCAUCCUCGCUGACCUGUGAUGAACAUCUAGCACGAAUGAGAAAUAAACCUUUGCUGUUUUCAGCCGCUGAAAUCUGAAGGUUGCCCCUGUGGCAUAGCGCAGCCCAGCAAGCCAGACGCGUUUUACCCUGAUGGUUGAUCUGCUCUUGAUGUGCCUAGCACAUCAUUGGAUCCCUGUGGCUGGUGGGUGACCUGAUGGGAAAGCAGAAGCAAGAGGGAGCUGCAUCUUUGGGCAGCAAAUGCUUCUCUCAGCAGUUCAGCUCCCUUGGUGGCGGUGGCGUCUCACGGUGGCUGCAAGUCAUUUUGAUACAGAUGGGCAAGAAGGGAUGGUACUUUCCACUCUCCACUCUAGGAGCUGACGUCUAAAUUAAUUAAAAGCUGGGGUGAGCAGAGAGGAUAUUCUAUUAAGUUAGAAUGUUCUUUUUAAAUGUUUGAGUCUGCAAAAGGAUUUUCUCAUCAAGUUGUGUUUUACGAGAGUUCGCAGGAUUUCUCUCCCGGUGAGUGAAAGCUUCACACUUUCUCAAUGUGAGUGUGUGAAGCUUCCCGAGAGAAGCCUCGGCAUCUGGAGGGGCUGCUUGUUGAGCUGAACAGCUGAGGAAAUAGCAGAACCCCGUGUACCAAAUGCUCUGAGCUUCAAGCCUGACAAAACACAGGUGGCUUCCAGCCUUGCGGGUUACGCAGGCGUUCCUUGGGCUGGAUAAAAAACAAGCCCUUCUCCUGUACCUCUGAUUGAAGAGAAGUGGUUAUCUAUGUGAAACAAAGGUUAAAAAUAAAAGCCUUGUAGUGUCCGGUGUGUGUGCUGACUGCCAAACCUCAGGAACAGACAAUAACAAGAGAAAUGGGCAAGAGACAGAGAUUUAAUUGAAUAGAAACUAAACUCCAGCCUUUGACGGGGUGAAAGACACAAAGCAGUAAUUAAUAACGUAAUUUUUUAAAAUGACGAUGCAAUUAAUUAACAUCCUGAGUAUGGGGCAGGGGGGAGUGGCAUUCUUUAGCCUGGAAAUACAGCUCAAUAAAGGAGAAAGGAACUUCGCAUUUU